UUGACACAGUUGAAUAAAGCUGCAGUCCCCCCAUAACAUGCAUUGGCAGAGUCAACGCCUUCAAUGUCAGUGUUUCCGAAUUUCUCGAAAAUUUGCAUCAAGAAGGUCUUAAUAGAUUUGCUCUUGUCGAUCACAGUCUCACUGCCAACUUCCAGACGACCGAUUUGUUUAGGAUCAAUAUUAUACUUGUCGAGGAGUGAAGUAACUGCAGUCAAACUCAUUGAGAUGACAUCUUCCACCUCAGUACAAAAUGCC
RNAcentral lists this unclassified non-coding RNA (255 nucleotides) under Hevea brasiliensis (rubber tree). The record is from RNAcentral. Lineage: Eukaryota; Viridiplantae; Streptophyta; Magnoliopsida; Malpighiales; Euphorbiaceae.